CUGAACCAAAUACUCCUAGUCACCCGAUAUUUCAUAUUACAGGACAGUCAGGCGACAGAUUUACUGACGCCCGCUAACGACAACUGUUUUUACCAAAUAAGCUGCAAUAUCCAAGAUCCCUGUCACAUUCGGAAAAAAAAAUUGCUUACUAAUUUGUAUAAAUUUAAAAAUGUAUUUCUUUGUUAAUCAUUAUUGUCUUUGAACCAUUAUAAUAUUCAAAUAACAAUGUAUUCCAAAUAUCAUAUUUUGUUAACUAUCAAUUAUAUUAU
Molecule: long non-coding RNA, 269 nt
Organism: Adelges cooleyi (spruce gall adelgid)
Lineage: Eukaryota; Metazoa; Arthropoda; Insecta; Hemiptera; Adelgidae
Exons: 3
Source: RefSeq, a predicted model, not a curated record